GUGCUUGUUUAGGCAACACAUAUACUAAAAUUAGAACAAUACAGAAAUGAUCGGCACAAGGAUGACAUGCAAAUUCAUGGAGCUUUCCAUAUAUAA
This 96-nucleotide small nuclear RNA is filed under the name Jaculus jaculus (lesser Egyptian jerboa). The record is from RNAcentral. Lineage: Eukaryota; Metazoa; Chordata; Mammalia; Rodentia; Dipodidae.